UCCUUGGUUGGAUUUGGGUUGUGAGAAGAUUGAUAAGAAGGACUGGUUCGAUGCCCUUGCUCACCCCGGACAAGUAAUCAAUAGCACAAUAAGUAUAUAGUGUCUACAAUCAUUGACAAUAUUUGUUUUGUCUUCAACUGUGUGGUGCAUUGUAGUUUUGUCUUUAACUAUGAUGCUUAAAUGUAGUUAUAUUGUACAGAUCAUAUAUAUGUUACUAUAUUUAGUCUUCAACUGUAAAAUUUUGCUUUUUUUGAACCUUAUGCAAUCAGUGUGAAAAAUGUAGUUAAUGUGUAGUUUUUUUAUGAAAAUAUGAUGGAUCAAUUGU
Molecule: long non-coding RNA, 325 nt
Filed under: Nicotiana benthamiana
Lineage: Eukaryota; Viridiplantae; Streptophyta; Magnoliopsida; Solanales; Solanaceae
Description: long non-coding RNA (NBEN_LNC011888)
Source: RNAcentral